RNAcentral lists this long non-coding RNA (676 nucleotides) under Nicotiana benthamiana. RNAcentral's name for it is "long non-coding RNA (NBEN_LNC036552)". The record is from RNAcentral. Lineage: Eukaryota; Viridiplantae; Streptophyta; Magnoliopsida; Solanales; Solanaceae.
AUUUUAAUUCUUUUUUUUUCCUCCCUAACUCUCUUCCCUUAAAAUAUUAAAAAAAAAAAAGAAGAAAAAGACAACACUAUACUAUACUUAAGAACUUAAUUCAGGAACAAAGAUGGUUUAUUUAGAGCUAAUUUAAACAACUAUAGAUAAAAUUCAGAAAAAUUCAAAAUUCAAGAUAUUCACAUAAAUCCUACUAGUAGAUAAAGGAAAGAAACCCCAUUAAGGAUGAAGCCAGAAUUCAAGAUAACUCACAUAUACAAAUACAGAAAAAGAAAAAAAUGAAAAGGGAAUGACUUUAAAUAGUAAGAAAAUUUAUGAAGGUAUAGAAUUUUUGUGUAAAGAGUUAUUUUAGAGUAAGCUAAGGUAUAGAAGAAACGGAUAAGAUCAAAAAUAAAGAUAGUAAGUUUUUAAAACAGUACACAACACAGAGUCGAGUUAUUUUAGAGUAAAGCUAAGUUAAGAAAUGGAUAAGAUUAAAAAUAAAGAGAGUAAGCCUUUGAAAUAGUACACAACACAAACAGAGUCUAAAAGGGAAGAAAGAAAAAACACACGGACACACACUACAGAAAUGGAGAGACAGCGACGGAGAUGGUGCUGAUGAGGUGGUGGCAGUAGAUAGGAGAAUACUAGAGGUGGACGUAAACGGUGGGGGGUGGGGUGGGUGGUUUUGGUUNNN